CCCGCUUUUCUUUAUCCUCACCUCACCACCGUCUCCGUCCGCUCUCCGGCCUGAUCUCCGCUCGCUCCGGCUCUCACAGAAACUAGGGUUUAUUGCCGACGCGAUGCACCGUGCACCCCGCCGCCAUCGAUCGGUACUCCGGAACCCUCGCUCUCCGGCGACGACUUCUCGCUGGCUGGGGUUCUUUCUGGUGUUUCGGUGGUGGAUUUCGAUCGAUCGGGGAUCGAUCUGAGGGCGAUGAUGGCGGUGGCGGAGGAGAAGAAGUGAGCGAGAGGGAGGCGAGGAUAGAAAGCAAGUACGAAGGACUGCGAAGAACGCGUCCAAGAAACUCCUUGCGGGCCAAGGGGAAGAGAAGGAGAAGAGGUUAAGUUGAAGAGCUGUCUGUCUUUCCUUUUCCAAUUCAAAGAAGUGUAUUCAUGGAUUAUUUCAGUCCGAUGUCUUUAUGUGCUCACUUUCAAAUAUUCUACUCCCUAGCUCUUGUACGCACACACGUGUGUGAUGUAUUUAUUCAUAAGGUUCGUAUGUGAAAGUACUUGGCUUAUGCUUUACAACUUUACUAAAUACAUGUAGAGUGAGUUCAUGUCAGCAUAAGUUUCUUCGGAAUGUCUCUGUUCAUGGUUUAAAUAUUCAAGAAUUUUCAUUAUGCAUUAUCAUGGAUCAUGCCUGAAAUUUUAUUUUAUGGUUUAUCAAUUUUGGUAUUGGGCUUCUCUGUAUAAACUUUGAUGGCUUGGAAAAUAAAAGUUUUUUGAUUCAAGCAAACCUAAAUGCAGGAGGGUGUUGGAGGGAGCAUUGGAGAGAAUGAAAGUGCAUCAUGCAAAUAGCUUUAGGAACUUAAUUACGAGAUCAAGCAGUGGAACGAAAAUGUUGAAUUAAAAAAGGGGGAAAUUUUAAAUGACAUAGCUAAGGCAGACCAGUAUAAGCAGAUGUAGUUGCUCAAGGACAGGUGAAGAAACUAGAAGGCAGCCACUUAUGCAGGUGAGAUAUGGGAGAGCUUUUGAUAUUAGUUUACACUUAUCGGCGAUGCAAGGCAUGCUUCGAUGAAAUCAUGAUAGGGGAGUCAUUGCUUGAGGGUUGCAGAUAUCAUGAGGUGAGUGAGAUAUUUGCUAUUAGCUUAUUCUUCUAAUUAAUUUGUUGAUGAUUCUUUCUUCUGGUUUGCACAUUUGAAAAACAAGGGAUCGAUAUCCAGGUUCUAAAUUUUUAAAAACACAUGUGAAUCACUUCUCUGAAGAGACCAGAUUUGUAGAUAGCCAAAUAAUGUAACGAAAAAUGAAGAAAAAGUUAAUCUUUUCUGCAAGCUAGGUUAGAAAUUUAUAAGCCUUAUUUUGCUUUGUUUACAAGUUAUUCACUUGGUAAUAGAUCAAUAGAUUUUGAAUCAUAUCCAAGAUUAAAAAAAAUCUUGCUCCAAUAAUUCAUUAAUAAAAAAUCAAUAUAUGCCACUAAAUGAUAUAUUUUAAAUACUUGAUUGAAGGUUCUGAAAGAUUCCAAUUUGGCAUGCUUUGCAGAUGGAGGAGAAAUAUUUGAAUUUUGAUUUAACAUUCAACUGUUUUGAGAGUUCUAUGUUAAGGGGAUGGGGUGGGUUGUGCUUACGGUAGUUAUGUUUUGGGUCCAGGACAUACCCUUGAUACUUUAUGUUAUUUAGACUGGAUGGCUGACCUUAGUUUACUUCUAUUGUGUUUAAGGUACCAGUUGCAAGCUUAUAGUUUAGCAGGGCCAUGGAUGUAAAGCUGAUACUCGUUAUUUAGAGGUGAAAAACAUUUAUUCAUUUGUAUUGCAUUUAUAUAUUAUGUCUGGCCAGUAAAUCUUAGUGCAUGAUAAUAUGUUCCAGAUAGGGGUCUAAAAUAGGGUAUUCUAUGGCAUUAUGCUACGCUUCAUGGCGUGCCUGUGAUAUGAUGUAGUUAUAAAUGUUGUAUGACAUAAUAGAGAUUGUAAUUUCACUUUAUCUAUUCGAAGUUGAGUAGGGUUAUGCUCUGAGUUUGAAAGGGUUAUACUUGUUCUAGAAUUUCUUUUGAGCAUGUAAUUUUGGAAAGUCCUAAAAAUUUUGGCAAUAUGUGCAAAGAGUCAUGAAUUGAUCAUAAAUUGAGUUACUUGUGUUUUAUUUCUGUUAGGAGGUUAGAAUCUUAAUUUGGAUCUUUGUACGUGCAUCUAAAGGUAUGUUUUAUUUCUGAUUUAUUCUCUGUUAUGAGGUUAGAAUCUAAGGUCAUGCUUUAUCUCUCGGGUGAUCAAGGAAGUUUUAUUUCCUUCUUCAUAUUUUUCUUCUUCUUCAUAUUUUUCUUCUUCUUCUUCUUCCUUUGCUUUAUAACAUUCCACAUCAUCCACUUGCAUAUUUAUAACUUCCUCAAUAUAUUUCUGUUCUUCUUCUGUUAUUUCUUCUUUUAUAGUUUAUUAAACACCACUAAGUAUUCAUAGAAUCAAAAUAAAUUCAUCAUUUAGCUUUAUUGUGACAGUUAGUUACCACUAAUUCCUUUGGCUAUGGUUGGUUGUGGAAUAAAGAAUCCAGAUUAGCUGGGUAAAUGCAAUAAGUUGGAGGGGAAAAGGAGGGUUAAAUUAUUUUACCUUUUGUUUGGAUUUAGUUAUUGGAGGAGAAAAGUAAAGCAUUUAUGUUGGACCUAAUUUUCUGAAAUACCUAAUCUGCCCUCUGAAGAAGUGGUUUAACCAUGUACUCAAAUGAAUGUUUGGCUGAAAGGAGGUCAAAUAAGUGGGAUAAAAGGCUCUUGUUCCUUCUUAUUCCUAGCCAAACACAGCCUUUAUCAGGGCUUUAAAUAUCAUGGUGACAGGAGCAUCCCACUGUCCUAGUGUCAGGAUGGGAUGUGUUGGGAAAUGGACAAGGACGGGUUGGGACAUCCACUGUCUUGAGUGUUGGGAUAUGUGGGGCAUUCCACAAUAUUUAAAACCUUGGCUUUUAUGUUGAGUCACCUCUUCAUCCUUUAUUGCCCAUUUAUUGUUGUUGUUUUGUUAAAAUGUUCUAUUGAGCUGUUUAUAUUUAACUUUGUCCAACCAUAUAUUCUGAAUGAUAAUAUCCCCAACUGUGCAAACCUGAAAGAAAAAAAAAGAUAUUUAAAAACAGCGCCAAUCAGACUUCACAUUGAGGAAUGUUGUCCUGUUGGUUUAUUUUCUCUGUUUGGAAGACCCCUGGAUUACGUUCUUUACAACAUUAACAUGUUGAUGAGCAUCUGUCCUAACUUGAUAAUUUCAGGAAAGUUGUAUAACCUUCAGUCAGUUUAUAAUUCUUUGGCUGUAAAUAUGUGCAUAUGCUGUUUGUCAACAUUGUGGAAUCACACCAAUACAGUACAUUGGGGAUGGCUAGUAUUCCAGAAAAUGACAUGUUAUUACGAUUAAGGAUGGCAUCUAUCUAAGAAAAUGUCAUGCUAGUUUAAUAUUUUUAAAUAUGGAAAUGAGCUGAGCUUCAGGGUCUGAAGAGAUCAGUUUGAAUUUUGGAACGAUGGCAUCCUUGUUUUCAUAUGAGUCUAUUUUGUUUGCUGUAUUUAAAUUUCCCAAUGAGAGCAGACUUGUAACCAAAAUGUUGGCAGAUGGCUUAGGAGAGAGGGGUAGGGGUAAGCCAAAGAUUUCAAUAUUUCAUUAAGAUAGGUGGGUUCAAAAGCAUAUGACAUGGCUUGAUAGUUCGAUUUAACAAUAAAUAUUGUUUUGAUUGAAAUGAAUGAUGGAAGCAUCCUUAAAUUUGACCCAAGUAGGGGAUAAGGUGCAGCAAAAUGGUGAUAUUAGAAAAGAUAAAACUAGUAUCAUAGGCCAGGUUACAAGUGUAGGCAUGGAGCCACUUAGAUGUUAUCCACCUGAACCUCCUUGAAGAAAAUGCUGCCCCUUCUCUUAGCAGCCUCCAUCUUGGGCUGACGGUCCUCGUUAAUAUAAGGAAAAGAAUUGCUAUUUCUCCAGUGGGUUGGGGACUAAAUAGUGAUGUAGUUGAGGAAAGUGGCUUCUUUCAAUGUAGGAAACAUGUCCUGGGUCAUUUUCUUGUGUUUGUACAUGUAAAACAUCAGCCUUUUUCAAUAAUGUCAGCUUUAUACUCAUUAUAAAAUUCUACACUAAAAGUUUAGGGACUUAAUAGUUCAUAGUGGUCGAGGACCGACGAGGUUACCCUUAAUAAGGAAACCUGCCUUAGGUCCUUUUUUUGUGGUCUUUUGCAAGUGAAAUGCCAAAUUAAUGUUCUUUGCACAAAUCCAUGCAACACUUUUCUUAUCUUCUGUUUAUUUUCUCACAAUCCUUGGAAAUUACCGAUGGAUCAAGAGAGUGGAAUCAUUCUCUUUCUGUUAUAGUCCUCCUCUCCUUUAGGUUUUGAAGUGCCUUUGCUGUCCAGGCCAGGUGAUAGGGCCAUGGUUUUGUAACAAUAAUGGAUGGAAACACUCGUGAAGGUAUACCAUUCACUGAGGCCUCAAAGCAUCGCUUGAAUGCUUAUGGUUGGUUUUUAUGCAAAUUGUGACCACAUUAUACAUGAGCCCAUUAACUAUUUACUUGUCCUUUUUAACACACAUGUCAUGGGUGUUUGAUGAAACUCAUGCCAUGCAGGUUCAUGGCUGUGCAUGUUACUCUCUUGUCUUAUAUAUGUGUAUCAAAUAUAUCAAAUAUUGUGAGAAAAGCCCAAACAUCCUAGAUCAGGCAAUUCAAUCCAUUAUAGGCAAAUGGGAAAAUACUUGGGUUGGUUUAGAUUUUAUAUGUGUGGAUUGGUUAUGAUGGAAUCACUGUUCCCUCCUAGUCUACUGUAUGGCUUCAUAAGCAUGUUCAAACCCACUUGUGUCUGGCAUCACUUAUACUGUAAAGAAAACGGUAUAGUUACUGGUCUCAGCAGAUUCCGUGUAGAAAAUUCUAUUAAUGUCAUUAUUGUAGGUUUUUACGUCAAGAAGGUAUUCUUUGUUAUAAUCCAUGCAUAUUGCUGUUGCAUGCCCUGUAUCAAUUGUAGACUGUUCGCUAUAAUCCCUUUUGUUGCUGAAGUAAAGGGCAGCAGGACUCGAUAUUCUGUCAAAAAUUUGACAGAUUGGAUACCAGAUGGUUGACCUCUGAAAGAGUAAAAAAAGUGGUAAGCACUACUGUGUUAACAUGUGCAUCUGCACUUUUGUAGUGAUAUUUUGCUAUGCUUGAUUUAUGUACAUGGCCUGUUAUGGCCUUGGUGUGUGAUGUAUUCAUUUUGGGCUUCCACUAGUCUGAAGAGGAAAAAACAGGCCUCACCUGUUUUUGAGGGGACCACAGACCUGACCGUGAAACACAAACUCAUGAGUUACUUGCAUGUACAAACAGUAGAUUAUCUCAUCAUGAAUAAACAUGUGCUUACCCGCAAGUUCUUUAUACGAUACAUAUUAUGCUGCUAAAGAUAUGUAUAUUUGCAUGCAUAUGGCAUGUUUAAUGAGUAAGCUCUGGUAUAACUUUAAAAGGAAAACAAUGUUUAAUGAGUCAAAACAGCCAUAAACAUACUGAAAUAAUAGUGCAACUUUUACUACAAAUCCAACAUGAGAAGCCAUUGACCUGGCUUUUUCUUUAGUUGUUGUAUGUUUUCUCCAUUCUGUUGGUCAUCUCUGCAUGCUGUAUUGGUUGUACUUCCUGGUUUUGUGAUCUGUCCAUGCAAAUCAGAGUAUAGGAAUGCAUUAGUCUAUAUAAGUCUCUGCUAGCCAUUUUUGAGGAAAAUCAAGAAAAUGUCUAAUUUUAUUUUUGAUCAUAAAUACUGUUUAGUGGGAUGGGAGGAAUUUGUAAAUAACUAGAUGCCUGGAACCUAAGCUGGCAGUGUAGUAAAAAUUUAUGACUGUCCAUCUGGGAAAGCUGAUGACUUAAAAACAUUGCAUCAUUGGUAUCCUAUUUUUUUUUAAUCAUCAGAACCUGUAGUUUUAAAAGAUGUGUUAUAGACUUUGAAGCUUAUAUAAUAAAUUUCAUGAUAUUUCAUACCUGAUGAAACAGCAAUUCUUUCUCCAGCAAGCUUCCUGGCAAGACUUGGAAUACACCCGCUUAGUUGAGUUUCCUUUUUUGUGGGUAGCCAGGUGGGGGUUUUCCAUGAAUUGAUCCUUCAAAGCCAGGAGGCAUUUCAGGAUCUGAGUUUGGUUCAUCAUGGAUUUGGCUAUCCACCAUUUGAACCCUCCGAUUACCUUCAGAUCGAAGGUGUAGCAGACUUUCAGCGGCAUCUAUAACAGCAGCAUCAAUAAGAUGAGGUGGUUGUUCCUCUUGCUGGAUGCUUUCUUCCUUUGGUUUUAUGUGCCGAAAGAGACCCCACAGGAAUAUAUUGUUCUUGCGUUCAGAUUUCAGUGCCACUGCACAUUUGUCAUUAGCACAAUUAAUAAUUUGAAACAAUAAGUUAGUUGCGGGACAAGAUCUCUGCAAUUUAUAAUUGUUUGUGAACUUAACUGCAUCAUACUGCAUUAAAGGAAAAAAUAACUAACUUCCAACA
Phoenix dactylifera (date palm) is the source of this 6379-nucleotide non-coding RNA. The record is from RefSeq and is a predicted model, not a curated record. Lineage: Eukaryota; Viridiplantae; Streptophyta; Magnoliopsida; Arecales; Arecaceae.